AAGUCGUAACAAGGUUUCCGUAGGUGAACCUGCGGAAGGAUCAUUAACAAAUCUACAACAAACACCCUGUGUAAACGUUGGUGUCCCUUGGUGUGUGUGCUUGUCGCGCAUGUCAAGGGAUACUAUCACAUUGAGAUGAUUAUUGAUGGACAGCCUAGAUACAGCGUUAAUGAAAACAACUUUUAACAAUGGUUCUCUUGGCUCUU
RNAcentral lists this unclassified non-coding RNA (206 nucleotides) under fungal sp. RNAcentral's name for it is "partial internal transcribed spacer region". The stretch from base 1 to 46 matches the Rfam family "Eukaryotic small subunit ribosomal RNA", at positions 1786 to 1831 of the family's 1831-position model. Lineage: Eukaryota; Fungi. The record is from RNAcentral.